CGGGGGGCAGCAGUCGAGAAUUUUUCUCAAUGGGGGAAACCCUGAAGGAGCGACGCCGCGUGAAGGAUGAAGGUCUUCGGAUUGUAAACUUCUGUCAUUUGAGAACAAACUGCACGGGUUAACUGCCUGUGCACUGAUAGUAUCAGAAGAGGAAGAGACGGCUAACUCUGUGCCAGCAGCCGCGGUAAUACAGAGGUCUCGAGCGUUGUUCGGAUUCAUUGGGCGUAAAGGGUGCGUAGGUGGCUAGGUAAGUCGGAUGUGAAAUCCCGGGGCUCAACCCCGGAACUGCAUUCGAUACUGCUUGGCUUGAGUACUGGAGAGGAGAUUGGAAUUUACGGUGUAGCAGUGAAAUGCGUAGAUAUCGUAAGGAAGACCAGUGGCGAAGGCGGAUCUCUGGACAGUUACUGACACUGAGGCACGAAGGCCAGGGGAGCAAACGGGAUUAGAUACCCGAGU
This 456-nucleotide ribosomal RNA is filed under the name uncultured Chthoniobacteraceae bacterium. RNAcentral describes it as "bacterial SSU rRNA". It matches the Rfam family "Bacterial small subunit ribosomal RNA", at positions 342 to 791 of the family's 1533-position model. The record is from RNAcentral. Lineage: Bacteria; Pseudomonadati; Verrucomicrobiota; Spartobacteria; Chthoniobacterales; Chthoniobacteraceae.